GAUCCCGCAACCCCGCGUGAGUGAAGAAGGCUUUCGGGUUGUAAAACUUUUUUGUCCGGGAAGAAAUCUUCCAGUAUAAAACGGCUGCACGAUGACGGUACCUUAAGAAAAAGCCCCGGCUAACUACGUGCCAGCAGCCGCGGUAAUACGUAGGGGGCCAGCGUUAUUCGGAAUUUUUGGGCGUAAAGCGCGCGCAGGCGGUUUUUAAGUCUGAUGUGAAAACCCACGGCUCAACCUGGGAGGGUCAUUGGAAACAGGGAGACUUGAGUGCAGAAGAGGAAAAUGGAAUUCCAAGUGUAGCGGUGAAAAGCGUAAAGAUGUU
This 322-nucleotide ribosomal RNA is filed under the name Lysinibacillus sp. Its description in RNAcentral is "bacterial SSU rRNA". It matches the Rfam family "Bacterial small subunit ribosomal RNA", at positions 385 to 700 of the family's 1533-position model. Lineage: Bacteria; Bacillati; Bacillota; Bacilli; Caryophanales; Bacillaceae. The record is from RNAcentral.